GAUGAAGAACGUAGCGAAAUGCGAUAAGUAAUGUGAAUUGCAGAAUUCAGUGAAUCAUCGAAUCUUUGAACGCACAUUGCGCCCCCUGGUAUUCCGGGGGGCAUGCCUGUCCGAGCGUCAUUACAACCCUCAAGCUCAGCUUGGUGUUGGGCCCCGCCGCCCCGGCGGGCCCUAAAGUCAGUGGCGGUGCCGUCCGGCUCCGAGCGUAGUAAUUCUUCUCGCUCUGGAGGUCCGGUCGUGUGCUCGCCAGCAACCCCCAAUUUUUUUCAGGUUGACCUCGGAUCAGGUAGGGAUACCCGCUAAACUUAAGCAUAUCAAUAAGCGGAGGA
Molecule: unclassified non-coding RNA, 329 nt
Filed under: soil metagenome
Description: partial contains 5.8S ribosomal RNA, internal transcribed spacer 2, and large subunit ribosomal RNA
Rfam family: 5.8S ribosomal RNA (bases 1-120)
Source: RNAcentral